UCUGUUCUCUAUUACACUAUAUCAUUUACCAUCUUGGUCAUUUCAUAUAUGCCGGUAUUUGUAAUGCAUUUAUCUUGCUGUGGACUGAGGGUUCGGGCUAGAAUUUAAUUUGGUGGCUUCUGACCUGUAACUUCUCCUGUUAUGUUUUACUUUGAAAUGCUUUCAACCAAUUUGGCUUGUGAGCUAUAAAUUAAUCGCCUUUUUUUGUUCUGGGUCUGAUUACUGAGCCGGGAGGGAAAAUAAAGAAAGAAUCUCAGCACCGAUUAAACUCAUUUUGACUACUGCUUCCGUGGGUAAGCCAGAGAGGAACUCAAACAUUGGCUCCCGAUCUUUUAUUUCAAUAUGGAAUUGAACUGCC
Molecule: unclassified non-coding RNA, 358 nt
Filed under: Petrocodon hancei
Lineage: Eukaryota; Viridiplantae; Streptophyta; Magnoliopsida; Lamiales; Gesneriaceae
Description: partial 166FR
Source: RNAcentral